RNAcentral lists this long non-coding RNA (44285 nucleotides) under Triticum aestivum (bread wheat). RNAcentral describes it as "long non-coding RNA (TAES_LNC007321)". The stretch from base 5274 to 5408 matches the Rfam family "MIR1120/MIR1122 microRNA precursor family". The record is from RNAcentral. Lineage: Eukaryota; Viridiplantae; Streptophyta; Magnoliopsida; Poales; Poaceae.
UUUUUUUUUGGUUGGCCAGGGCCAAUUUCGCAUAUUUCUGUGGGUUCCAAACUAUUUUUAAUACUGAAAUGUCGAGCCAGAUUUAAAGUACUUUGAAGAUAUAUUUGAAUUAGGUUAAUGCCCAGUGAAAUAGGAAUCUGAAAAUGUGAAAAAAAUCAGAAAUUAUAAAGUAAUUGCCAAUUUGUCAUCUGUUUUUAUAUUUACAACCCGUUUCAUAUUACUUUCAAGGCGUAGAAAAAUAAGUGGGCCUAGAUUGGGUAUUCUUCAGAAAAAAUAAACUGGGCUCAUUCGCACAAAGAAAAAAUAGCUGGGCUGGUCACAUGGUGAACAUAAAAUAUAAGCCUGGUAGACGGGCCACAGCCCAGUUCAAACCCUGCUCCGUCUCAACAAUACCAAACAAAAAAAAUACUGCUCGAGUAGCUACGUCCUAGGUGUCUGCCAAUCUUGUGCUAUUCUCUUGUCUAUUGACUAUAUACGCUCACAAUGUCGUGGGUCCCAGAUGUCAGGAAAACACUAGGAGGAAGCAUUUUAUUUUUCCAUACGCUGACGUGGUGGGCCCCUACUGUCAUCCUCUCCACGUACUUCUGCCGAUUCCUGUUGUUUGUUGACUAUGUUGACAACGCGAGAGGGCGGCGCCGCGGCGAGCGCACCAAAGCGCAUGGAGGAUGUCGGUGUUAACGAUUUAGGAGACGGUGGGGCGGUGAUGCGUGUGCUGAGGCGCAGCCAGCCAUGGGAGGCAGAAGCAGGCGGCCCCGCCGGCGCUGGUUUGGUUUUGGCGGCUGGAGGAAGACAGGACUGAAGAAACACGACAAACUGUAAAAGCAGCAGGAGUACUUAACAACCUUAACUGAAACUAGCAGGGGCACUUAACAACCAAAGCUGAAAGCAGUAUGAGUACUUAUACAGGUUCAACCGUACAAAGCACGCCUCGAACAGUGCUACUUUGUCUACAGGCUACAGUUAACCAAGGGUGAGGCUGCCAAGCCCCAGGACAAGGCCCAGGCGCCACCCCGCGCAUCCACAACCUUCUGAAAGCGGCUUCAUCUCGCAACAUGGUCAAUAAACAGGAUAUUCGCUUUAGAGCCAUGGAAAAGCAUGAACAUAAUCUUCUGUCCUAUUCUCCAAGAUGGACGGGCCUUCAUUAUCUGAGACCACCCACGAAUAAGUAUCUUCUCACCUCCAAGGGGAAUUGAGUAGGUCGACUUAAACAUCAUGUUGUGACCAAGCGCAAGUCUGACCCGACCAUGGUCAGGCAUCUGUAUAGGAACAAUAGAACUCGGCAGUUCCUGUUUCAAGAAGAUCACAGCUGUAAAAUUAUGUAUAAGCAAUAGUUUAUGAACAACAUAUAUAACAGAAAACAGCUCGUACCAUAAGUUUCUCGACAUAGUUGGACCUGUUCAACGAGUGCAGCAGUGACACACAUAUCCCACGUGGCCUUCCACCAUUGAAACGCCCCACAAGGACCUCAAGAUGAUCAAUAAAGUGUCGGAACAUGUGGAUGUCGUCCCAGUCAACUUCAGUGCCAUCACUAACAGCCGAGUUACUACAGAAUAACAAACGAGCAGCAUGCUUAACUCUGAAAAAACCUACACGUGCCACCAAUUAUAAGAAAAUAUUAGUUAGAAGUAUCAUCUUCGUGAGAGAUUCGUUGCUACUUCUAAAGUUAAAUUGUGAUUAGUUAGACAGAACAAGUGGAUUAAGAAGUAAUCGAGGCAACAAGCAAGAGCCAGAUAUAAAACUAACAUGGAUUAACAAUUGGAACAACGUCGGGGUGGAAGAUCGUAGUGAGGUUGAGACCAGGUUCUGCUAUUUCCAUCAACAUUCGUGCGCCAACUUUCAGUCUGUAACACUUGAGAAAGUUUAUCCAAGUUCGGCCAUAAAAAAGCAGCGAUCUUCUUGGUUCAUGAACCCAACUCGGAAGUAAUAUCCAUGGGUUGUCUUCACUGUGACCAUUAAACUAGUGUAUUCAGUUAUGGCAAGGCCGAGCAUCUUGAGUACAUGUGUUCUGGCAGAGCAAAUAAUACACUGCAGGAAAAAUAAUAUGAGAACACAGCAUGUUCAAAAAAACCACCCUCCCAGAUGGAGAAGAGGAUUCUAGGAACAUACUGUGCGCGUUUCAAAAUGUUGUGGUAGGAUGAGAAGGAACAAGUGUGGCGUCUCGCCGAAGGUGCAGAAAUCUGUAGGGUACUCGCACUUUGGGCACUGCAACUGAAACACACUAGAUCCAGUAUGAAGAAAAAUGCAUCAACGGCGGCGGCUGCCAUCCUAGGAUUACCUGCGACCAAGGGACUUGGAUUUAUUGGGGAUGGAUGAAGAAUUCGUACCUGGUUCUCCAUGAGAAAACCCUAUGCAAUCGCCGAGCGGGGGUUUUCUCUGAACAAGCAGACGAGGGAGAAGGGGAUUCAGGCCCAGUGAAAUAUUGGCGCUUCGUCCGUCCAGCUUACUGCUAAAGCUGGAAAGGGGGGGUUGUGAUUUGACGGCUCAUUGGGCAUUACUGCGGCGCUACGACCGGGGUGUGUCUAUCGUGAAGUUGUGCACUCUAAUUUGUGCAUAUGGCACGUGGACCCCGUUGCCGAUUGCCCCACAUAUCAGCGAAAGGAAGUAGAAAGACAGCAGUAACUAGUUACACAUAAAUAUAUAUUUUGACAGAGAGAUACUCCCUCUGUAAGAAAUAUACAAAUCUUUUAUAUCACAGGCUCACCUUGCCAAGAAAUAUACUCCCUCUACAACGCACGGGCAUUAUGGGGGUUCAGCUUUUUUAUGGGGGUUCAGCUAAGAAUAUAAUACUCAGAUAGGCUCACGGUUCUGGACUUUCGGCCGCAGGCCGACCCUGCAUGUUUGGGGGCCCAUGUGUAAUACCUCAGCGCUUUUCAUAUUGCAAGCGAUCGGUACUGCGCUGGUUUUAGAUGCUGUCGCAAGGCGAAUACACAAAAUUGAAUAAAGCACGACAGCUGUUGGAAUGAAAUCGAACGACAGUUCCUAACCAGCAAUCAGAGUUGCAAUUCUAUCAACGAUAUACCAUGUGAUAAAUAAUAUUGUCGUACUACUUAUACACACAGGACACUUGUUUCACCAUGCCAGAUUAUUACAUCAAAAUCUCUUGGAGGAUAGAUCAGUUCGGCAGUUGCGUGCUGCUACUGGAGAAUUUCAAAGUUGAUUUGGACCAGCUCUCCUUGCCGAGAAAGUUCGAUUUUGACAUCAUCCCCUACCGCAAGAUAUGAUUUAUAUUUGAAUCUUGACCAUCCUUUAGCAUCAAUCAUCAUGCGACCAUCCUUUGUACUUACGGUAUAUUGAGCAGGUUCAUUCACACCAAGGUUGCGCAUGGUAAGAGAAACUUGGCCGCGGUCGCCCGGAUUGUUGAUAGACUCCCUCGUUGCUCUAGGAAUUCUCUGUUUGAAAACAAGAAGACAUACCCAAACAGUUAGAUCAACACAGUGAAUCAUGUGAAACAACAUGGAAAGGAAAAAGAACGAAGCACUUGGGCGGCCAAUGCUUACCAAGAAGGUGGACAUGUCGGUUUUUGUAAGGGCUUUGGUAUAUGAAGUGUGAACUGCAGCCCAGUCUGUUGCCGGUGCAACUGCACAGGCCGGACCAAAUGCAAGUGCAAGUGUUGGUGUAGGUGCCGAAGCCGCUGCUGCUGCCGGAGAUGGUGCUCCUUGUAGAGCUGGUGCCGGUGUCGAUGCUCGAUCCUCCGGUAGAUCAGACUGAUCCGCUGACGCGGUCGGUGCCCAAUCCUCAGCUGGAUCAGACUGAGCUGUUGCCGUUGUCAGUGCUAGAGAAACUGCCGGUGCUCGAUCUGUGCGAGACAGCGGCGAUCGUGUCUGGUCUGCUAUGAUCAGCUUUCUAACUUGACUAGGAUCCGUGACCCUGAUCCAGUUUUUUUCUUCAUUUCUUUUAAACGCAAGAAGGACUAAUUGUGGCAUUUUUAUUAAACCAAACUGCAGUUCAUCAUAGGGAUUCAGCUUGUACUCAGACAACAGACUGAUCCAAUUUUUUCCAGUAAUAUAAGUGAUGGAUAGUGCCUUCAUUACUGACACGACAUAAGAAGUGAAACCUGCAAAAAUAGCCAUCGUAGAGCAAACCAAAUGGUUUAUUCUGUGAUGAAUGUCACAUGGCAAAACCUGCAUCAUAAAAUUGCAGGAAAAGAAAGAAAACAUGACAUUAAAUCAAUAAGAUUUAGACAGUAAAUUAAUAAGAUUUACUUGAUGUGACACGAGUGAAUCCUUACCAGGAAAUCACUAUGUUGAAGUACUAAACAGAAAAUUGAUCGUCCAACUACGCGUGGCAUGCAGGGGCCCUGCCUACUCCCACAAGCAGGACAGUCCAAAGGUCAUGACAAAUCGUAUGGACCGAACAUCCAUGGGACUGGAGAUCUUGGUGGGUGCGAUAAACCCUGCAAUGCAUAUAGAUAUUGGAGUGUAACCAUAAUUGAUAAACCGUCCUCAUAAAAAAUAUGAUCUGGAUACUUCAAAAUCUACAGACUGAAUUGAGUGGACAGACAUUAACAUAGAUCAUUCUCAGGACUGACCACACACCAAGAGCGGCAGUACUAAUAAACAAUACAGGGUUCACAAACACAAAUCAAGUACUGAACAAUAGUACUUACUACAGACAAGCAAAGUUGCACUAACUAAACUCUGCAGACUAUUUCUUGCCACCGACCUACGGGAUAAACCCCGCAUAACUGACUAGGCCAUGGACUUCGUGUGAGAUGUCUACAUGCACCAUCACCAUCUUGUCAACCUUGGAGAACCUAACAGAGUGGUCUUUCCACUCAUAAACAUGAUGAUGAAGACAGGCCGCAUCAGAUUUGUUGGGAAGAUUUACAAGAACCACACCCUUCGUAAUUGAAGGCACAACCAGGAAAUUGUUGUGGUCAAGUACAGCCUCAAGAACACGCCUGACAACAAUGCUACAGGAAAACACUAGUUCAGGACACGUGGCGACAAAGACACAUCAGCUGGAUAGUUCAGCAGUAGAACUCAUCAUCAGGUCUUCCAGUUCACACGGCAUGACUUUGAGAACUUCAUCUCCACCGCGGACCUAGUUCUAAUUCAAACAGAAACCAUAUUUCAUUACUACCUCCGUUCAGAAAUAUAAGAUGAUUUUCGAUAUUAUACUCCAUAUAUGACUACAUAUACGCACAGAAAUGAGUGAACAAAGACACUAGAACAUGUAUUCAAAGGCAUGAGAGCAGAGGGAUUACAUGCAAUAUCCAUAACACAAGUUACUGAGGCAAAUAUGCCCUCUUAAAAGGUAGCAUUGAUGUUCAUAAAGUACUCCCUCCGUCCCAAAAUUCUUGUCUUAGAUUUGUCUAGAUACGGAUGUAUCAAGUUACAUUUUAGUAUUAGAUACAUCAGUAUCUAGACAAAUCUAAGACAAGAAAUUUGGGACAGAGGGAGUAGUUGAAAGUAAUCUAUAAGAAACCAGUGUCAACCUCUCGCAUGUUUUGGUCAAAAGAGGAAUUUAGAACCGUCAUUUGGCACACUAAAAUCACAUGCAAGAUCACCCAGAAAGUUGUACUACCAGUACUAGUACUGCAUGUUAGAUGAAAAAACACGAUCAAGAUCGAGAAAAAGAUCGUCAACAAGAGACAUUACCUGGACUUGCUUAAUGAGGGAUCCCGGAGAGGGGAGCUUGGACAGGGCGAUGGCUUUGAGCUUGUCUGCGGUAGUCUCAGCGGGGUGCUUGCGCUUCUUCGUACCAUGAGCCUCGACAGUUUUGGCCAGAUCCAUAGACAUCACGUCGGCCGGUGCUCCGGCGUCCAUCCAAGAGAGGAAGCUGAGAGAGAAGAGUGAAAGGAGGAACGAGAUGAGGGAGAAGCGAAGUGAGUGGGGGUUUUCUUCAAGAGAGGAAGCUGAGAGAGAAGAGUGAAAUGAUGGUUGCUUUGUCCGUCCAACUUACUGCUGGAAAGGAGGGGGCUUUGUGAUUUGACGGCUCAUUGGGCAUUACUGCGGCGGUUCGAUCGGGGUAGUCUACCGUCACUCUACUACGGAGUAAUUUAGUGCAUGGCUGGUGGACCCAGGUGCUGGUUGUCCCACACAUCGGUGAAAGUGAGUAAUUUAGUGCAUGGCUGGAGGAGGAUCCACACGGUAGAGCGUGUCCACUGUUUUUCAUUCUGAAGAAAAAAAUGAUUACAGCAAGCGUCUCCACUCUUACAACGGAGGAGUGCGAAACACGGCAGCCACUUGAACAUACACAGUGCUCCUACUACUAGGCAUGUGCAGUGGUUCAUACAUCAGUACUACACAAUCUUGUUGCUGUGUUGUGUGCAUGUCAACUACUACUAUAUGUAACAUAGUACCGCUUUUUCAACUGCCCGGUCGAGAAUGAACGGUGAGAUCAAUGUUAACAGAACUAGGUCCACAGCACAUGGAGAGUACGGUGCUACAGUACUCCAUGAAACAUGAAACAUAUGAAGCACAUCCUAUAGUGUUAGAUAGGGUGUAUGAAGGGUGCACGGGAUGGGAGCAAAAGUUCCCUUCUCGACCCACUUUUGGGUGUUUGGCAGAGUGCAUGAAGGGUGCAUGAGUCCACACUAGUAGGUUGACAAAAAUACACGAAGAAGAAACAAUUAUAUUGAGAUGAGAAUGCAACCAAACACACUCGCACGCUUUGUGCUACAGUGACGGAUCUACACCGUCUGAGUUUGAUCCAACGGUCAUGUUGCGCCGAGACAUGGACAUGCCCAUGCAGAGGGCGCCUAAACACCACCGAAGUCCCUCUGCUUCUCGAGGCGCAUGACGUUGGUGAUGCAGGGUGCAACCGCCCGCAGAGCCCGCUCCCAGUCGACGGGAGCCAGCUCGUCAAAGACGGCGUCCAAUGGCACGAAUGGAUUCCGGUGACGGAGCCCUGAAAGGAUUCGCCCGGCAACGGCAACGGCAGCGUGCAGCCCCUCCUUGUCCAGCUUAGCCCCCACCAUCGCGCGGAGACGGCUCAGCUCCUCGGAGAAAUAGGUGAAGAAGAAGACGAGGUCAGGAAGCCGCAGCUCGUUGAAGUCGACCGGGUGGUCGAACGGGUUUAGCCCGACAGCCGGCAUCGUCGCACUGGCACGACGGUAGGCAUCACGCAGCCGCAACACGUGUGUGGCAACUUGGUUCACCAAGUGGCUGAGGCGAUCCUGGACCUCGUCAUGAUCGGCCCACUCGCGCUCUAGCCGGCUCCCCUGACGGCCUAUGGUAUCUCCCGCUUUCUGCAGCAACACCGCCGAUGCCUCGAGCAUCUUUGUGGUGGACGCCUGCCGCUUUUGAAGCUCCGUGAACUCCCGCACAUAACGGAGGAGCAUGGCACUCCUCUCCUCCUUGAGCUCACGGAGCUCCGCGUCCUUGGCCCUGAGCUCCGCAUCCUUGGCAUGGAGCUCCUCAGUCAGGUGCCUCACCUCGGACUCCGUGAUCUGCUGCGCCGCCAUGGCACUAGGUAGAAGCAAUGGGGAGAGGAAGCAAAGGGGGUGAAACGGCUGAAAGGCAAUGCAAUCUACGGGAAGGCGGAGGGAACCAGCCGAGGAGCGGGGAAUCUUUUGGUUUUCACCACGGUAAAACACCAGUCGAUGGCUUCUCACAUCAGGGAGCAGUGGGUUUUUACAGGCGGAGUCAUCGUGACUAAUUGCUACCGCGCCUGCUCCCGUCAAUCAAAAAAUUAAAAAUCCUGCCGCGCCUGCUCCCGUCAAUCAAAAAAUUUAAAAUCCUGCCGCACCCAAACACUAGAGCAACGCCGCGGUGGAUAUUUAAAUUUACCUGCCGGCAAGUAGAUAAAAAAAGGGUGAAAAAACAAAUGUGGCGGCGGCCUAGCUAAUCGGUCGAACUAGCCCAACUAGCUAGCCACCGUGCUUCACUGAUGUACUCGGCGGGAAAGGUGGUCUUUCGUGAUUUGACGACUCGUUUACUUGCUUCGGCGCUAUGACCGAGGAGGACCUAGAAAACGCGCGGUAGGGCGUCGCACCUCAGGAAGAAUAUAUGCGUGCACCACCCGGGAGGACCCCGAAACCAUGCGAUAGGGUGUGCCACGUCUCGGCACGGAGGAAAAAUGUGCGUGUAAAAAUAUAUUGUAUCAGAUGUAGUACCUAUGGUUCGACCUCGGGACCCAGCCAGUCGGUCGAAAACACCCCACUAGCCACACAGCUUUAUCAUGCAAACGUGGCACGGUUAGCUCCGUCUCGACCAGCCGCAAUGUCUCUUGUUCUAGGCGAUUCUUCUAUUUUCCAAGCUUUUUUAGUUGUAAUAACACCACAGCAAGCUAGUGCCGCUCUUCAUGUGUGCCCGUGCAAAGGUUAGACGAUGGAGAGAAGAGAGAUUGAGAUCAUAGACCUGGGACCACCCGUAAGUGAGAAAACGGUCAUGCACGUGUUGACGAGGCACUCCCUCUACUCUACUCAACGCAAGUACUGUAUAAAAUCAAGUUAUGGGACAAAGCCAACAACCGUUCAUUUUUUCAGGCUAUCGACUUACGAUUUGUAGUCCAGGUUGCCAGUUCGAAUCUCGUCUUUCAGAUUUGUUAGUUUUAGGUCCAAAUUUGAUUAAUGACAAGUGGGACCCCCAUGUGUUGUUCCGAUAUUUCAGUGUAGGAUGGUUUUUUUGAACAAACACUUUGCGCGGUUAGACAAGUAACGGCACGAGUUACACGUAUUUUGCAAGUUUACGAACAAAAAUGACAAUGGCAUAGAAUAUCACAUCCACCCCGUAGCUUAGAUACUAUGGUGAUACGAGUUUUUACACCGUUGGAAGUGAGAUCCAAUGGCUUGGUAGUAGUCUUUGUAAUUAUGCGCAACUUCCAAACUCUCCAAAGUUUUUUUUGCAAAUAAAACAUUCAGGCCUCGUGUGUGCCGCUGCAUCUUCAAUCCAACGGCUCCCCGGUGCUAAUAUUAGGUGCUCCCCGUAGCUUAAUUACCCGCUAUGGUGAUAUGAGCAUCUAGGUCAUAUGAUCAGUGAUCAGAUGGCACAUGCAUAGUACUUGUACUUUCUGCGCAUUUCCCAAACUCUACCAGCCGUAUAUUGCAAAAACAUUCAAACCUCCUACUAUGGGCUGUUAGAUCUCAGUGAACUCGUAUCACCAUAGAAUCUAUGGUGCAGGAGCACCUCAUACUCUCCCGUGCGAGAAAACAUAAGGUGCUAUCGCAGCUUGGAUGCUACGGUGAUACGAGCUUGGAGGUCGUUUGAUCUGAGAUCCAAUGGCAUCUGAUCAGUCUUUGUGCUUGUAAGCAGUGGCCGAACUCUUUGGGGGCUUUUCUGCAAAAAACCAUUCGAACCACCGAGGAGGUGUUGGGUUACAAAUCCAACGCCUCCGAAGAGCUUGUAUCACCAAAGCAUCUAAGGUGUGGUGGCACAUGAUAUUCUUACAUACAGGAGAAUAUGAUGUCCUCCUUCAUCUUAGAUGCUACGGUGAUACGAGCUUCGAGGUCGUUGGAUAUGGGAUCAAAGGGCAUCUAAGUAGUUUUUGUACAAAUUGUGUGCAAUUCUCAAACUCAUCAAGGUUUCCUGCAAAAAAAUUAAGACACAUCAUGUGAGGUGCUAUAUCUCAGAUCUACAAGCUCCAAGCAACUCGUAUCAGCAUAUAGCAUGUAAGGUAUGGGGGCACAUGAUAUUCUCCCGGGUAGGAGGGGUGGGCGGUGCACAACCAAUCGGUGGUUGGGAGGGUGGGAACAAAUAUAAUCUAAACAACCCUAAACAGAGCUCCACAGUUUUAUCUAAUGUCAAGGGGUUGACCCCCGACAAUCAUAGCUCCGCCUAAACACAACAUUUGCAUGUACUGUAGUACUAGACUUAAUAUUCAUGUUUCAGUUUCAUGUUCAUUUUAAAUAUUGAACUGAGGACCAUGGAUGUCUUACAUUUUACUCCCUUCGUUCCUAAAUAUUAGUCUUUUUAGAGGCUUCAAAUGGACUGGCACAUACGGAUGUAUAUAGACAUAUUUUAGAGUCUAGAUUCACUCAUUUUGCUCCGUAUGUAGUCACUUGUUGAACUCUCUAAAAGACUAAUAUUUAGGAAUAGAAGGAGUAUUUUUGAACUUGUGUCAUACAUGCAUGGGUUGGAAAAAUAGAUGCACUAUACUUAUUGGAUUGUUGUUGUGUUCGUGCGUGUGUGUCUGUCUGUGUGUGUGUGUCUGUGUGGUCAAAUGCUUGAUACAUACAAAGUUUUCUCACCUCCAUAUUGUUCAUCUUUUAAAUUUGAAUUUGCAUUGGAAAACUUACUAGGGAUACCAUGAAAUGUGAAAUCCACGUUGAGAUCAGUAUAUCACAAAUUCACUCUAAUUCAACGACUCGUCAUAAAUCAAUUACCACGUUGAGAUUAGUAUUUGCAAGGAAAAUACGGGUAUUGUAAUACACAUAGAUUCGUUCGGCAAUUUAAAAGGUUCCUUUUGUAUUCUCAAAUGGUAGGACCCAACGGCGUACCAGCCAGACCUUGGUUCGUGUUGAUCCUAAAAAAACGGGCUCGUGUCCUUCGGUGGCGUGCGUGGUACGCACAUUAGGCAACCCCAACCAGUCGAGCCUCCGCGUUUCAAGUCGAAAUAUAUGGCGGCCAGAAUUCCAGCCCUAGGAAAUUCCCCUCAUGUCCCCGGUCCAUAAUGACUACCGAUGAACAACGGAGGGAUGCUUUAGUAAGUAGACAACGUUACCUACCGUGCCGAGCACGGUUCAAUUCCCUCGGUCGCCGCUCGCCAAUGUCACCCGUCAACUGCAUUGCCUAGUACUACUACUACUACACCAGGAUGAGCACAGAAUUGAGCCCGUUUGUUCGUGCCUAGUACUUUGUUUGUUCGUGCCUAGUACUUGAGUUAAUAUAUCAGGCAAUGCACUGGUACGGAGGUAUUAUCCUUUUUCUGGUUUAUAGGGCUUAUCUCAAAAUUUUAGUUUUCCCAUUUUAUAAGUCUCAAUUUGGUUGUUCCCCAUCACAUGUUCAGAUUUCAAGGUGAAAUAAAUCAUUACAUGCAAGUAUUAAGAGAAAAUUGACCAAUGCAUGUACUUUAUGCAUGCAUGCAUUGCAAUUAAUGCAUUCGUAAACACAAUUUUUGAGGAAAACAAGCGCAUUAAUUGUGUGGUUUUGCAAACUACAACAAUUGUUCCACCACUCACCAUCUACAUUGGUUGGUGAGAUUUUUUAAUUGAGCCCUAUAAACCGGAAAGGAGGUUUAACUAAGCAAAAUGUUUGACCAAAUCCUUUCUUAAGAAAUACAAUAGGACAGAUGUACGGCUUGAAAAUUUAUUGCAUGAUGCAGGUUAUGAUAUUGUUUCGAAUCCUGGGUCUUAAAUUUCAGAAAAUCCAAAAGGGAGCAUAAAUUCUUGAAACUGAGCAUGGUCACGUGAUAUGGCACAAAUAUUACUUCGUAAGUUUUUUUCUUCAAUUCGAGACAAGCUGCUUAUGACAAGUUGCACAAAUGAAGAGCCAAGGUAUUUUGGAACAAAGACCUAUCACGUUUUUUUUUGAGGGAAAAGACAUGUCACGUUAAGGCCAACGCUUUCACUAUUGAAACCGUGGGCGUUUACGUGCCGCCACGAGUCCCCGCUUCUCAUCGGCAGGUGCCGUCCCAGCAAGCGUGUGAGUCGACGGGAGGCGUGCGAGCAGACCGCUAUGCAGACUCACCGGAAGGUGAGCCCUUCGACCAGGCUCCGCCGCCCAUCGUAGUCCCAAUUGCUCCCACUUUUAAUGUCACCGGCGCCGCAGUUUAAAAUCAACCCCGCACUACCCGGUAUCGCUACAAUCCUCUCUCUUCCUCUCCGAUUCUCCUGUCGUCUACCUCCAACUAGCCUGACCUAAACGUACGCCAUGCCGCAUCAUGAUAGUCUGCCCUUAGUGUUCCAGUUUCAUGAGGAAGACACCCAGCCGGAGUCUCAAGAACAUAAGGCGCUUUGGGACGAGCUUGAACUGGCCUUGCGGGAAGACGCCGCGCCUGUCCCCGCUCCCGUUCUGGCUCCCGUCGCCCCGACUGCGCCAGAGCCCAUCCCCGUGGCAUUGAUGGGCUGGGAGCCGCAAAUUGUCGCCGAGCUUGAUGCCACGGGGUUCCACGAGGUCCCCGCCGACUUUCACGCGCCCGCGCACCUGCCAGCGCAUGCGCCUGCGUGUGCACUGACGCGCACGCCCGUACCGGUGCCCGUGCACCUGCCAGCGCAUGCGCCUAUGCAUGCACUGACGUGCGCGCCCGUGCUGGUGCCCAUGCACACGAACGUCUCCGUCGCGCCAUUGACAGCGCUUGUCCCUGCGCGGGUGCCAGUGCCUCCCUCAGCGGCAUGGAUGGCCGCCGUCGACCGCUUCCUUGCACCAACGCCAGUCGCCUCCUCCCGCCAGUUGACUCGCUCCGAAGUCCAAAACAUUUUGGCCUUCCUUGAAGCUAGGCCAACAUCCAGGAGUACGCCAACAAUGGCGCAAGACGCCGCCAUCGCCGUCGGUCAGUGGCCCGACGACACACAGAGCACGGCAGAGGAGCCGCUUCCCACCGCGAGACGCCCCCGCCGCCGCCGCUAAUCUAAAUUUGCCAUGAAAAAUGUUCGGAUUGCCAUGCUUAAAGUCCAAACGUUUAUCAUUUCUGUUUAUUUUAUAUCGAUCGUCAUAUAAUUUAAAGUCGGAGUCAGACUGAACGAAAUGUAUGGUUUGAUCGACUGAAUGUUCUGCUAGAGCCGUAUCAAACUAAAUAUAAAACGUCAUCAAGCCACAUGUAUUCCUUGUCAUCCAACGACCUAGACUGCUUCAAUGUCGAGCGCUCAACAUGUUUAGCGUGCAGUUAAUUUCAUGCCAAAAAUAGUGCUAAUCACAUGACAACACGCAAAUAAUAUCCUAGUACUUAAUAUCCGCAUGCACUUAAUAUACUUCCAAAUUAACGUGCAUUGCACGUACACACUGACUAGUGCUGCUAGUACGUAAAACUGGUGCCGUGACUUGUGAGUUGUGAACGCAUCCAGAUAUGGUCAACGGCAACAUCGCCCGCGAGUUCUUCCUGUUUGCCCGUGCGUCUAAACGCAGAAGGGGAGGAGAGAGAGAGAGCACACAUGGAACCCACAGGUAAGUGAAGGCGAAUAGUACUAAAAAUAAUAUUAGAUGUUAUCCAUUAAUUAGGUUGUGGUAAUAUAAAAACAUUAUGUGAACAAAGGGGGUACAACAAACAUUGCUAUUCUACAUAUGUUGCCUAUUGACGUGCGGCUUGAAGGCCGGUCGCAUGUUCGAUCCUCAUCCUUUAUUUUUUAAUUUGUAUAUGGGUCCAAAUUUGUUUCAUGACAUGUGGGCCCCUUGGUGUGUAGUUUGUUGCACUUUAAUUUGUGGGUCGAAAUUUGUUCCAUUCCAAGUGGACUAUCGGUGUGUAGUUUUGUAGCUUAUUUAUAAUAAUUAAAGAGAACAACAUAGUUUUUCAAUAAUACCAUGGUGCGACGUUGAAGGUGAGAAAGGACGUGCGAGAGAGCGAUGACCGAGCCAGAGGGAAAUCAACUAGGGGAGUUGCGUGGGUUGCAACGGCGUUUGGAGUAGUUGUGGGCCGAAUGCUACGAAAAUAUAAUCUAAACCGACCGGAAUAAAUGCCUACACAAAUUAAUCCAAGGUUGGAGUGCCCCUCGCAAUGUAAAUAGCUCUGGCUUUGCGAGGGAUGGAGAGGUAGUAGCUUCAACGCGUGGAAGAUACGGUAUGAAAAAGUGAGGUCAAUCGAGAGACAUAUAGAUAGAGAGACAAAGUGAGUGUGGUCCGACAUUCAUUGAACAAAUAUAUAUGCUCCGGAGAGAUAUUGUCCGAUUGAGCUUUUGGUAAGGGUGAGGGCUGUAAGAUAGAGCUUGAGAGAUGAUCCAGUCAUAGACGUGUAGAUAUAUUUUGUGCGUGGGAGGAAGCAAGGUCAACCGAUCACAUAGGGUCGCCGUGCGAUCGAAAGAGUGAGACGGGUUGGAGAGAGUGACCUAGAUAGACGAUGUGCGUGAGAGAGUAUAUAAUGUGAAUAGGUCGAAUUGGGCUCAAACAUGGUGAUAUAUCGUUUUUGUCCGAGAAAGAGCGAGGUAAAUCAAGACAUACUCACACACACACACACACACAGAGAGAGAGAGAGAGAGAGAUUGACUGAGCGUGGCCCACCAUGAGGUCGAAAGAGUGGCGGCGGCUUAGAUGGACUGACCUAGAUAGACAAUCUGCGUGAGAGAGUAUAGAGUGUGUCGAUCGAGGCCCGAAUAGGGAGAUAUAUCAUUUGUGUGUGAAAGAAAACGAGGUUAAACGAGACUCGGAUAAAGAGAGCGAGAUUGAGAGAGUGUAGCCCGCCGUGCGGAAGAAAGAGUGAGACAGUCUCGAGGGAGUGACCUGGAUAUACAGCAUGCAUUCGUGCGCACGAGAGGUUGGGGGGCUAGAUAGGCAAUGCAUGUAUUUAGCACGAGAGGGUGAGAGGGAGAGGGGGAGAGAGAGAGCUCGGCAUGGGGUGCAAUGGCGGGUGUGUGAGGUAAAUACAUUUGGUAACAUGAGUGGAAAAAGGGGUUGUGUACUUGAGAGACUUAGAGAUCGAAACAUGGAGAGAAAGAAUGAACGUGUGUUGGAAACCAAUAGCUUGCUAAGGUGGUUAGGAGAGGAAGAUUGACCGAUACAGGAAGUAUGUAGCGUUUGCGCGCGGGGGGGGGGGGACUAAAAACAACAUUUGAAUGUACAUAGUACGAGACUUAAUAUCGAUGUUUCAAUUCGGUGUACAUUGUAAGAUUUGAACCGAGGACCAAGCAUACGGGUAAUUAUUUCGAAUUCGUGCCAUACUAAGUUUCGAAAAGUUGACAUUGGCUCAAUUUGUUGUGCUAUUUUGUAGGUCAUAUGUUUGAAUCCAUCCAAAAGCUUUCUCACUACCAUGGUGUUCAUCAUAUACAUAUGAAUUUGUAUUAAAAAAGUAGUGUGGAUACAGUGAAAUGUGAAAUCCACGUUAGAAUUGGAGAUCGCUACGUGACACACACUCUAAUUCAAAUAACUAACUAUGUGACACACACUCUAAUUCAAAUAAAUAAUUAUGUGACACACUCUAAUCCACGUUAGCGUGGAUACCGUUUUGAUUUUUUUUCAAAUAACUCCUCAUUAAUUAAUUUAUAGUACUCCCUAUGUUCACUUUUAUAAGACCUUGAAGACAUUUCAAACAAUGUGCAAAACAGUUCAUUUUAAGUUGUCUGAAACGACUUACAAAAGUGAACGGAUGGAGUAUCUCGUUUCGAAUGACUAAUUAUUGCAAGGAAAACACGGGCAUGGUAAUACAUACAAAUUCGUUUGCAAAUGAAAGAAGAUUCGUUUGCAUUCUCAAAUGUAGGUGCACCAGGCAGACCAGGGUCGUGUCGGGGUGGACGCUGCUUCGGUGCCUUCAAUAGCCCUUGGGUGACUGACAUGUGGACCAGCCACCUGCUGGGCCCACAUGUCAUGGACACAAAGGCAGGUGCCUUAAGGCACCGAAGCGUAGUCCUGUCGGGGUGGUCGCGUGUGUCGGACGGACGCGUAGCACCCAGCCACCCACCCCCCCUCCCCCCCAAAAAAAGGACGACGACAAUAUAAGUUCGCGCUUCCACGUUUCGGAUUGAAAUAUCUAGUGGCCCCAAUUCCAGCCCUGCAAAAUCUCUCUUCUCCACCGUCCCCUUCCGUGCCCAGAUUGCUCAAAUCCCUAAUUCNNNNNNNNNNNNNNNNNNNNNNNNNNNNNNNNNNNNNNNNNNNNNNNNNNNNNNNNNNNNNNNNNNNNNNNNNNNNNNNNNNNNNNNNNNNNNNNNNNNNNNNNNNNNNNNNNNNNNNNNNNNNNNNNNNNNNNNNNNNNNNNNNNNNNNNNNNNNNNNNNNNNNNNNNNNNNNNNNNNNNNNNNNNNNNNNNNNNNNNNNNNNNNNNNNNNNNNNNNNNNNNNNNNNNNNNNNNNNNNNNNNNNNNNNNNNNNNNNNNNNNNNNNNNNNNNNNNNNNNNNNNNNNNNNNNNNNNNNNNNNNNNNNNNNNNNNNNNNNNNNNNNNNNNNNNNNNNNNNNNNNNNNNNNNNNNNNNNNNNNNNNNNNNNNNNNNNNNNNNNNNNNNNNNNNNNNNNNNNNNNNNNNNNNNNNNNNNNNNNNNNNNNNGCAUCGUAGCGCUCCGCUGCCACUCAAGAUCUGCAUCCGUGCGCGGCCAGCCAAUGCCAGCACAUCACCCUCAACGGCUCUGAAGUGACCCGCACUCUAGCUAGGCGAGCAUGCCCAAACGCUGGCCCGAACUAGGUAUCCACACAUCACUCCCUUGUGCACUGUUCCGACGAUGUUUGGAUAUCCUUUCACUGCUCUGUUAGCUUACACGCCUAUGCAACUCUGAGUUUAACUCUUAUUUCUUCUGGAGAUAUCAUCUGAAACAAGCAAAUCCAUUUUUUAGCGAAGCAUGACGGGGCUACGGGAUCUGGUACACAUCCUGCACACCCGUAUAACCUUGUAAGUAUCUGUCCUCCGGUACGACAUCAAGGUCGAUUCCUCUUAUUUGAUCAACCAUUCGUCGUGUCAAAAAUGCAGAGGGGGAUGCAAGGAGCACAAGGCCUGCACAUCCAAGCAAGUGGUAACAUGGACUUGUACAUGGAACAUCCCAAGCGCAAGCAGAGCUGCAGCGAGCCUGUACAACGAGCUAGCGUAAGUCCCUGCAUUUCGUUUAAUUCGUACUGGCAUUCAUGUAUGAUUUGUGUGUAGUGGUUGAUCCACGAAUUCAAGUUACCAGGGGUGAACAUUUAACUUAAAAAAUACGAAGGCACUUGCACUCCAGAAAUCAACAUAACUUGAGAAAUGUGAAGCUACAUGCACUUUGAAAACCAGCUAAUGAUCCAAAGUAGUUCAGAUUAUAAACACUAAAUGAUGCAAUCACCAAAAAACACAAAAUGCAACAUGUUGUACAAGGACUAUAAACAUGGUCUGUACCUGCCUGAAUUAUUCGUUCUCUAGCUGAAAAUAUCGAAGUGUAAUUGCACGUAUAACCAGUGCGCAAACUGCAUAUCAAUAUAUCUAUCCUGCACAAGUAUGCCAAUAGUUUCAAACAACAGAUUAGAAAAGUAUUUAUGCUAUGUUGUCAUGAUACAGGAACUUUCUUGUAGAUGGCCUCGAUGUUUCCUCAAGCUAUGAAAAUGCACUAUAAUUUGCUUGUCAUCAAUGCCUGCAAAUCUCUGUCUCUCUCAACAUAGUACAUCAUCAUUAGACACUAAAUCCUUCAAUGAGCUUGCAAAAUGCUUGCAUUAGAUCCCUCAUUAGACACUAUAUGUUCAUCACCAGGAGCAUGUAAAAUGUUUGCAUCAAAUCCUUCAUUAGCAGUCUGUUCAUUAGACACUUCAGGCUCAAGAACAACAUGAGCUUGUAUGUUUGCACCGGAAACUUGAUUAGAUACAUCAGAUUCAGUCAGUUCAGUAUUGAUUGGGGGAGUUAUAAAAUAAGUAGAAAUUGGUUUCAUUUUCUCACAGAUUCCCUGCAUACAAGCAGUUUUACAACACCGUCAGGUUUAACUAUUGGCCAGAAAUUAAAGAGUUGAAUUAGAUAUAAUCAGGGAUGUGAUGUACCUGCUCGUUGCGCAUGCUACUCUUGCAAGCUGCGACUGUCCGUUUGCGCAAGCUCGAUGCCAUGCCCGUGCUGCCGCCGCUGCCUCCCACGCAGGCUACACCCAGGGUUGGAUCUUCAUCUUCUUGUCCUUCCAUUCGCUUGAAGCCCGGCGACCGCCCUCCAACGAGGGCGCGAGGAAGUGUUGUGUCGGUCUGUCCAGCGGCGGCUAGGUUAGGAGCAAACCAGACUGGAGACUAGAGCGAAUGAAUUGGGAUUUUUCCUGUUGUCGGUCGAUAUGGGAGGCGCUCGUUUGGGUCGCGAGCCUGCUAUAGGGCCUGCCUUGCACUUAUGUUAUUGGUCCAUCCAAAUUGAAACAUUUUUCUUCAUUUUUUACAUUGCCUGCUCGUGCGUUGGGACGAACAAAACUAGCAUGCGCCAACCUGGACGACUCAAACUAGGUGCACACUUUCCAGCCACCUGAGGCGGCCGCCCAUACCAACCCCUAUGGUGGUGUCGCCCCUUUUUGCGUGUAUGAUUGGAUAGUGAAAAAUAUUCUAGUUGCACUUUUGAUUUACCCACAGAAUGGUUGAAUUGCUUGUUUCUAUGAACUGAGUUCGCCAAUAAUGUGAAGGAUGCUAGUCUUUUCAUCCUAUUGUAGAUUGCUUAGAUCUCGAUAUCCAAAAGUACUCGCAUGAAAUAUACAGUAAAACACAGUGUGAUGUGUUUGGCUACAACUAGUCUGACUACACGUCCUCAUAUAACAUAUCAAGGACGCACCAUCUUACCAGAUUAACCAUUCGACUUACCCAUGCAGUGUAGGAAGAAAGAAGUAUUGGGACUGCGUAUCCAAGCAAUUGAUGCCAUGGACUCCUUUGUACAACCUUGUAAGCGAAAAAGAAGUUGCAGUGUGCCUGUACAAAGAACUAGCGUAAGUUCAGUUACCUGCUUCUCGGAAUUUUAGUUAGCCACUUAUUGCAAAAUUGUUCAAUUACGUUGCUUGGAUUAAUUUAGUUUGCUACUGAUUACAUAAUGGCACAACUUGUUAAUCAUAUUGUAGACUGCGCCUAUCUAUGUGUUUGAUACUUACUGUUAAGAAUUACCUGUUUGCCUUAACUUAAAUAUCUACUUGUUUGUUUAACUGCUUUGCUGCCGCAACAACGGGUUACAAUGAUGUUAAUAACUACUCCCUUCAUCCCAUAAUAUAGGACGUUUUUUGACACUAGCAUAGUGUUAAAAAAACGUCUUACAUUAUGGGACGGAGGGAGUACUUUUCAGCAUCCAAUUAAAACUCUUUAAUUCCUUGUUUGUUUAACUAGUUUGCUGUUAUAACUCCCAGUUGAGAUGUUUUGCUAACUUCAACAUUUCUGAAUCCAAUCGGAACUUUAAUGGCAAAACAGGUUAGCCCAAGAUCAAAGAGCGAGGUCCCCAUGGACGUUGCAUCAUCCCACAACAGUGGCACCGGCACGAUCGUGCAUUAUGAAUUGCCAACUGCUGAUGCUCUAGAGGCUAAACUAGUGGUAGAAAGAGAUUCUGCUUCUGCACUUAGAGAUGAAGUUGACAUGUUGAGGAAGCAAACAGCACAAUCACAAGCAGUACUCAAGACAACCAUUAAAUAUUUGGUGGAUUUCAAAACGAAGCAAGCUAAGACUGACCAGAUUGUUAAGAUCCUGAAGGAAAAAAGAAAUUAAAUUCCCACUUGGUAAAUCAUAGGUGAAAUGUUCUUUCCAUAGUUGAACAACCUUUGUGUUGUCUGUUCAUGUAAUCAAUCAAACCAUUUGUUUUAGAGAUCAUGUAAUAAUUUUUUUUGUUUUUUGGUUUGUAAUUUUAUUUGAGCACAAGUCUGUAUUAAUUGAUAAGACUCGGAGACAUUUCAUUUGGAUUGCUGUGCCAGACCUAUAAAUAUGCCAAUCGGGCUGAAUGUGCAUUAGCAAUAGUAGUAGUAUAGAUGGACCAUAAGUGGCACGCAUCGGAAAGGGCCGAGAUGCUGGCUAAAGAAAAGAUGUUGGUGUAGCCAAAAAAAGUACUGCGGCCUGGCUUAUGUAUGUUAGUUGAUAUUAUUGAUCCAUAUACUCUAUAAGUGUUUAUAUGUCUGUUAGUUCUGUACAUUCUUGGUUGAUUGACUCGGUAUUUGAAUCUUGAUACAUCGCUUGUGUACAUAUCUAAAUGGGAGUACACAUUAUGCUGCGUGUGACAUUUGAGUUGGACAUGAAGUGUUCCAAAUAUUCGAAUUCACCUUAAAUUGGAUACUAGUUUCUGAAUUUGAGUAUCGGCAUUUGUAAACCAUAUUCAUACAUGACAGUUGAAUACAUCUUUGCCAUCCUUUUGAAGAUAUAUAAAAACACAUAGAACGAUUUUUAAAGAUUCAUAUAGGAAUACAAAAUGGAUUCGAAUUUAGUUGCCAGGGUAAACGUGGAUGCUUAUUGUCCCAAAAUUUGAAAGAAGCUGCAAAAUGUCCACUGCCACGUCCGUUGCCUGAAGCCAAGUGUUUGGGAGAUGGAAAUUACUGUCUACCCAUUACACGGACAAUCCAUCGGCCUGAUUUCCACUGCUCUAAAUAGGGGUAGGUUAGUAACUUCAAUUAGACGUGACACGACCGCCUCUGAGCCCAUUCCGACGCAGUGGGUGUCAAACAUGGGCGGCAAAACAAUUUGAUUCAAGCUCGUCCGAAAGACCUCUGUUUCUCCCUCCAUUCCCCAUUCAUACACGGUGGGCGGCAAAACAAACUCGACUCGGCCGAAAUCGAUGUAGGCAAAUAUUUUCAAUAGGGGCAGGUUUGUAACUUCACUCAGACAUGACACAACCGCCCUACCUGUCAGCCCCGUUCAUACACUGUGGGCGCCAACCAUGGGCGCCAACCACCCUCUCCUCGCCCGAAAUCGCUCUGGGCAAAUAUUGGCGAGAUGCGAGAUUACCGUCCUAUCCCCAACCGACGAGACGUCCAAAUUUUAAACGGGGGCUAAGUUCAUAACUUUCCCAUAUUUCAGACAGGCGCAUCCCAAAAACAUGGUUCCUCGUACCUCUCCCUCCAUUUUCCCAUUCAUACACCAUCCGCGCUAGAACACCCCAUCCCCACACCAGCCUCCGUUCGCCACCCUAUCCAUCGCCGCCGUCCUCCACCACAUCCAUCGCCACCGUCCUCCACCAUGCCGGAGCGCCUACCAAGACCACGUCAUCCACUGCUAGAGAUGGACGUUUCUCAUCCACGGCGACGGACCAAUAGCCUUGCAUCGCGUCCUCUCGCUUCAUCGGCGCUGUCGUCCUCUUUGUCGGGGCCGCUCACACGACCUUCUCUUCCACCGCAACGGGACUUAUCCCCCGAUGCACCCGUCUACCAUCGCAGAUCUGCUUUAACGCCACUGACAGCCAUCGCACCCCCGAUGCUUACACGGCACCGCAAGAGAGGUGGUACUUUAUAUCUCCUCAACUUUUUGAUCUCAACCAGAAAAUAGAUCUUAACUUGGUUGCUCUACUUUCUUUUCAGCUCUUAGAAUUUAGUUCUUAGUUCGAAGCAAACAAUGGAUGCUAAAUAUCAUUUCUCCGGUUUGUAGCUUCAAAUCUGCCAUGGCACAGCCAUAAGAUGGUUUAAUUGAUCAUGCUUAGGGUUUAAUUGAUCAUGUUGGUUCCGUGGUGGUUUCUUUAAUAGAAAUCGGAGGGAAAACCCUCUUUUCCUAAAAAAAUAUGCUUAGAGUUUCCCCCUUUUAUGAUCACUAUACGAUCAGAAUACGUGCUUCAUGUCAUAAUAACACUACUCCACGCAUCAAGCUAAACAAGCUUAGAUGUUCAAAUACGAAUCUGAUAUUAUUAAAACAGAGUUGUUUAAUUGGUCAGCUAAAUGUUCCUAAAUUAGUUUCAAAAAUGCAUGUUCGCCGCUCGGGUGUGUAUCUCUACAGGGUGCCCACGGUGGGCUGGCCCACCCUGGGAUUUUUGGUCGUCCCAGGCCCCGAUUCCCCUCUGUUCUGCUGCGCGCUUCCGAUCUCUACUCGCCCCCAGCUGCCUGCCUCGCCAGCGACUUGCCGUCCCCAGACGGCAUGACUCUAGGAGGAGACGCCGGACUAACAGGAGGCCAGGAGCCGCUCGCCCAACAGCGUCACCGCUGCCCGGGCGCGCCGCCGUGCCUACCUUCCCAGUCUGUUCAGGGCUCAGACGUGCAGCACCCACCAAGCCAACCCGAUUUAUCCUGAGAUACGUCCUCAACACUCAGCAGCCACUGCCCAUCACCCAUUUUCUAAUUGAUUCAUUACUCAUUAGGUAGGACUGUCAUUAGGGUUUGUUGUGUGCUCAGUGCUACCUAAACUUAAUGGUUCAGAUGCAUUUCGGUAAUCUUUAGUACCUCUAAAGUUCACAGGGUUUUCAAAAUUCCGGCCCUCGGAACAGAAACUAGUCAUUUUGGAUUGUUGGUCAUAGUGACAUUGACCCAGAUUACUACUGCAAGCCAGGUUUGUUGACAAUUUUACUUAUCUUUCUUACUCAUUCGAUAUAAUAUCCAAUUAUUCACGUCGAUUAGUUGGAAACAAUAAGUGCUAGACAAACUUCUUCAUUCAGAUUUUGGACGGUCUCUUACUGCAGUUACAAUUCUGCAUACUUGUCCUAAUAAGCUCACAAGUAAAUGAUUGAUUCACUACAUCUAUGCUUGCCUUGUCAUAUUUGUUGUCAAUAUUCUUUUAGGGUGGACCACCUUGUUUCUAAAUACUGGAACCGUAGACCUGAGUGAAUAGUAUUUCUCUAUGUGAUCUCUUCCAUCAUGUGUGGGUAACGAAUACUGCAUUGUAUAGAAAGCAAGUGUCAUUUCCAGCUUUUACAUAGGUUUCGAUCUUUUACAUGGAAUACAAUCUGCCUACUUGCUUUGUGUCGCACUACCAACACUCCACCCUUGAAGCUAAACAUUACGCCACUCAUAAUUGCUUAGUUUAUUUGUUCAAAUACAAAUUUCAUAUGAUUCUAAUGUUCCUACUUUAGUUUUGAAAUGUGUGCCUGCCUGUUAUAGAGACAUAAGGUGUUUGUAUUUCUGUGUGUGGUCUGGUCAGCACGGUUGGGGAGGUGAACUUUGCAUAUGCAGGGGUUUAUAGGGAGACACUUUCCGAGUUGAAUCCGCAAUGCAUUCCAUAGAUAAUCUGACUACUUUUUAUGUUUUCAUGAAUCUCAGAUUCUGAGCAGCAUCAUAAUGAUUAUGAGCUUGCGCGCAUGAAAAGAAUAAAGCAGAACAAUGCCAUGGCUGUCAAACUUGGCAUUAAGGGACUGAACUCAAGUCUGGAUGCAAUGCAAUGCAAACGCUCUCCACCUACAGAUUCAUGCUCAGAAUAUGAUCCUAACAGUGAUUCUGAGCUAGAGGGAGACCUAAGUCAAUGUAGCUCCCUAGUGGAGGAGUCAGAGAAAGAUGCCCUAUCUUACUCACCCAUCAAGGUACUUGCUCUAACUUUCCAAGGUUACAUUGCUCGCACAUAUCUUGCAACUGAUGUUUUGCAUUGCUUCUACUUUGUUGAACUGCCAUUAGCUUAGUUUACACAUUGUGUAUGUGAAUAUGCCCUGCCUAUACAUUUUCAGUACAUAUUCCGUCUGUCAUCAUACUAUAUUUAUCCAUUCAAAUGUUGUUCUUGUGUAUCAGACGUUCAAAAGGAAGAGGGUGAUUACUGAUCAUGGAGGAGCACAAGCAAAGUAUUUGGAAAAGGUAGUGGCACCUGAUAAAUCAAAUAGCCCAUUAGGUGUAGUUGCAAUAUCACCUGACCCACAAAAUACCCCAACUCUAGCAGACUCUAGCCCUACUACACUGGUCAUUUCUGAUGCCCCAACUCAGCAGACCCCAACUGCAGCAAACAGUAUGAUUAUGCCAGUUGACAUAACACCAGCUGUACGAUGCAAAACCCCCAUUCCAGCAAAGAGUACACCAAAUCCAGUUGCCAAAUCCCUUUUCGAACCAGAGAGAGCCCCAAUUGUAGCAAAUAGGACCCCUGUUCCAUUUCUUCCCAGUUUAGAAGACGAAGCUUAUGUUGUUGUCAGGAACUUUGUGCGCAUCUUUCCUUCAUGGAAAGAUUAUACCGCAGACAUGGAACAAUUUCCAGUCUUCCUCCGCAACUUACGCGUAAGUAAUGUACUAAUGUUAUUCAUGGUCAUUACUGCAUAUGUUUCUGCUGACAGAAACACAAGAUUUCAUUCUUUUAAAUAGGCGAGGAGCAAACUAGAUUGUGAUGACGAGCAAGAGUUGGUUGCGCUUUUCAAGCACUCGUUGAUGAAAUAUCAUUCCUACCUGAGGCAAGCGCACUUCGAUGGUAAGCCUCUGAACGAAAUUUUUGUAAAGUCUCCGGUGCUACAUUUAUCCGACGGUGACUGGAAUAGUCUUGUUACACAUUGGUCUCGGCUGCGGCGUAAGGUACUGUCUAUGAUAUCACAUCACAAUUUGAACUACAUUUCUGCAUUUGCCUUAAUGUCUCACUUGUACGAAAACUGUUAGCAGAAGAACAUUCGUUCUCAAGGGACCACAGAAUCUCGCAACUAUACUGCAUACUGCAUUGCUCUUGUGAGUACCUCUUGCCCUGUAUGACCAUACUUACUUUCAUAGCUGUUUGAUUAUGUAGCAUCACUGCACAUGUUAGCCUCGUAAUCGCCCAUUUGGUGGACAUUAUAAGAUCUGUAUGGACUCUUACACAAAUUUAGAAUCAACCCAAUGCUUUUGAAGAGGUUUAGCUCUGCAGUCCUCUUGUAAGGACUGAACGUGGUCUAUCACUGUACUUACAUUAACAGCUACUCCCUCCGUCCCAUAAUAUAAGAAUGUUUUGUACAGUACACCAGUGUUCAAAACACUCUUGUAUUAUGGGAAGAGGGAUUGGUUCAUUUUGUAGCAUUCUGCAUCUUAUCUCCCUCGCCCACUGUAACGCCCCGGAUUCGUUGCGCCAGGUGUCUGCCAGUUAUUCGCCAUUGUUGCCAUGUCAUUUGUUUGCAUGUUGCAUUUUGUCAUGUCAUCAUGUGCAUUGCAUUGCAUACGUGUUCGUCUCAUGCAUCCGAGCAUUUUCCCCAUUGUCCGUUUUGCAAUCCGGCACUCCUAUGUCCUCUGGCGUCCCCCUUUUGUCUCCUGUUGUGAGCGGGUGUUAAACUUUCUCGGAAUGGCCCGAGGUUUGCCAAGCGGACUUGGUAUAGCACCGGUAGACCGCCUGUCAAGUUUCGUGCCAUUUGGAGUCCGUUUGAUACUCCAACGGUUAACCGAGUUAGCCUGAAACCCCUUCUUUGUGUUGCAGCCCAACACCCCUCCAAAGUGGCACAAAACCCAUCCAAACCCCCUCCAUGCUCUCCGCCGUUCGAUCACGAUCACGUGGCCGAAAACCGCUCCUUAUUUGGACACUCCUAGCUCCCUCUAUCUAUAAAUAUGCCCUUCCCCCGAAAAUUCCCGGUCCAAACCCUAGAUUUUCUCCUCUCGCCCGCCGGACAUGUCCGUCCCGGACCGGACGAAAUCGCGCCGCCACCCGCAGCCACUCCCGUGCCGCCACCUGGCCUCCGACCUCCUCCGCGCUGCCGCGGCCCGCUGGGCCCAGGCACGGCCCGCCAAGGCCCGCACGGCCGCCCGAGNNNNNNNNNNNNNNNNNNNNNNNNNNNNNNNNNNNNNNNNNNNNNNNNNNNNNNNNNNNNNNNNNNNNNNNNNNNNNNNNNNNNNNNNNNNNNNNNNNNNNNNNNNNNNNNNNNNNNNNNNNNNNNNNNNNNNNNNNNNNNNNNNNNNNNNNNNNNNNNNNNNNNNNNNNNNNNNNNNNNNNNNNNNNNNNNNNNNNNNNNNNNNNNNNNNNNNNNNNNNNNNNNNNNNNNNNNNNNNNNNNNNNNNNNNNNNNNNNNNNNNNNNNNNNNNNNNNNNNNNNNNNNNNNNNNNNNNNNNNNNNNNNNNNNNNNNNNNNNNNNNNNNNNNNNNNNNNNNNNNNNNNNNNNNNNNNNNNNNNNNNNNNNNNNNNNNNNNNNNNNNNNNNNNNNNNNNNNNNNNNNNNNNNNNNNNNNNNNNCCGCCCGCGCCCGGCCCCGCGUCGCCUUCGCCGGAGCUCGGCCGGAUCCGGCGAGAUCCGGCCGGAUCCGCCUCGUCCCGCCCCUGCAAGACCUCGCCGGCCCCGUCUCCCUCCUCUCCGGUGUCUUCUCCGGCGAGCUUGCGCCGCCACCUCGAAAACCAUGCUAGAUCCAGAUCCACGAAGGUUGACCUCCAGAUUUCCGUGCUAUACGAUGUUAAUCUGCGGAAACUGUUAUAACUUGGUGAUUUGUCAUUUUUGUUGCAUUUGAUGUAUGCAUCCUAUGAGCAUGAGUUGUACAUGUGUUUUGUACUACAUCAUGCCAUAUUCACAUAGGUGCAAUCCAUGUAUUUUUGUGAGUCUUGUACUGAGUGCAUCGAGCUUGUUAAGUAGGGUACUUGCUGUUACUGUUUUGCUAGGUUGAAUCUGUUAUUUCGUGAUGCUAUGUAAACCUGCUGCUACAAGUCAUUCUAUGCAUAAUCUGGAGAUGUUCACUGAGGAUGUUUUGUUAUACAUAUCAUGCUCUAUCCAUCCAUGCCCCUGGUUGCAUUUAUAGCCUGUUGUAGCUUGCUGUAAGCUUGCUCCAAACUUGCUAAAUAAUGUUGUUGUCAGCCUGUUAACAUGAAGUUCAGUUUUGCCAUGUGAUUUGCUAGUGAUCCAUGUACCCUAUGAACUUGUUCUUGCCAUGCUUAGCUUCAUAAACAUGUGUUCUUACUGUUGGUUACCUUGUCAUACCAUGUAAUUCUCUGUGGUGAGUGGUACAAGCUCACCAACAUGCCUACUUAUAGUUGUUUCUGCCAUGCCCUGUUUGCUGAAUCUGUUAACGAAACUUGAUAUGUUUACAUGGGUGCCAUCAUAUCUUCUGAUACUUUUUGGCUCAUGGUCAGUAAGGGACUUUUGUUCUAUGCGUUUAGUAGAUUCAUUCCAUGUCUUUUUUUGCCAUGAUAAGUUCCUGUAGCAUGUUGUUUGAUAGCUCUAAACAUUGCAACCUGAUGUUAUUUCUGCUAAGCCUGUAAACUGUUGUUAUUUGCAAUCUUGCCAUGUGUGUUUGAGCAUGUUCUAGUGAUUUCUGGAGAUAGCUCAGUGUUCAUGUUUUGUAAUGCUUUACCUGUACAUCAUGUCCAUGCCUCUUGUUCUCAUGUUGGGGUCCUGUAGCAUGUUGUUUUGAUGCUUGCAAUAUGCCUAGUUGUUGUUUUGGACAGCUUGUCCUUUAAACUUGUAUAGAGUGUGUGUUGAACCGUUGCUCCGUUUUGAGUGUGCUCUAUAUGAAACUUGCUUAGAAUUGCAUGUAGUUUCAUGUUACCUUGUUGCAUCCAUGUUUUGAGAGUGUUUGCUUGAUGUUUGUAUGCAUUUUGCAUCAAUGCCAUGUUUGACUUGUUUUGCUCAUAUCUUCUAGGUCGUAGCUCCGAAUUAAACGAACUUUAUAUGUAACUUGACUAGAAUUUCGUGUAGAUCAUCUUGGUGCAUUUUAACUUGCGGUUUAAGAACUUGAACAUAAGGUUUAUUCAGAUCUGGACCAACUUCGAAAUUUGCAUAUGAGGACUUACCGGAAUUGUUAUAUGUUGUUUCCGGCCUCAUUUAAACUUGCCUUGAUGUGUUGCUCUUGUAUGCAUCCUCUCUUGCCAUGAGUAGCUUCAUGUAGCUUUGUCAUGCAUCAUACUUGGUUGAGCAUCAUGUCUUGUAUAUGUGUGAUGUGUUUACCUUGUUGUGUGCUUCUCUCGAUAGUUCCCGUUUCGUUGCGAUCAUGAGGAUUCGUUCGUCUACGCUUGGUUCGCCUUCAUGGCUUCAUCUUCUUCAUGGAUUUAUUCUUCUUCCUAGCGGGAUUUCAGGCAAGAUCGCCGCUAUCCUGGAUCUCACUACUAUCUUUGCUAUGCUAGUUGCUUCGUUCUAUCGCUAUGAUGCGCUACCUAUCUUUUGCUCUUCAAGCCUCCCAAUUGCCAUGUCAGCCUCUAACCUUUUCACCCUUCCUAGCAAACCGUUGCUUGGCUAUGUUACCGCUUUUGCUCAGCCCCUCUUAUAGCGUUGUUAGUUGCAGGUGAAGUUGAAGAUUGCCCCAUGGUGGACAGGAUUAUGUUGGGAUAUCACAAUAUCUCUUAUUUAAUUAAUGCAUCUAUAUACUUGGUAAAGGGUGGGAGACUCGGCCUUAUGUCUGGUGUUUUGUUCCACUCUUGCCGCCCUAGUUUCCGUCAUACCGGUGUUAUGUUCCCGGAUUUUGCGUUCCUUACGCGGUUGGGUGAUUUAUGAGACCCCCUUGACAGUUCGCUUUGAAUAAAACUCCUCCAACAAGGCCCAACAUUGGUUUUACCAUUUGCCUCACCUAGCCCUUUUUCCCUUGGGUUUCCAGAGCCCGAGGGUCAUCUUUAUUUACCACCACCACCCCCCCCCCCCCGGGGCCAGUGCUCCUCCGAGUGUUGGUCCAAACUAGAGCAUCGUGCGGGACCAUUCCUUGGCAACUUGGAUUACGUCGGUUCCUGUACGCUUCGCUUAUCCGGUGUGCCGUAAGAACGAGAUAUGUGCAGCUCCUAUCGGGAUUUGUCGGCACAUCGGGCGGCUUUGCUGGUCUUGUUUUACCAUUGUCGAAAUGUCUUGUAAACCGGGAUUCCGAGUCUGAUCGGGUCUUCCUGGGAGAAGGUAUAUCAUUCGUUGAUCGCGAGAGCUUAUCAUGGGCUAAGUUGGGACACCCCUAGAGGGUAUAAACUUUCGAAAGCCGUGCCCGCGGUUAUGCGGCAGAUGGGAAUUUGUUAAUGUCCGGUUGUAGAUAACUUGACACCAGAUCCGAAUUAAAACGCAUCAACCGUGUGUGUAGCCAUGAUGGUCUCUUUUCGGCGGAGUCCGGGAAGUGAACACGGUUUUGGGUUAUGUUUGACAUAAGUAGGAGUUCAGGAUCACUUCUUGAUCAUUGCUAGCUUCACGACCGUUCUGCUUGCUCUCUUCUCGCUCUUAUUUGUGUAUGUUAGCCACCAUAUAUGCUUAGUUGCUGUUGCAACCUCACCACUUUACCCCUUCCUUACCCUUUAAGCUUUGCUAGUCUUGAUACCCAUGGUAAUGGGAUUGCUGAGUCCCCGUGGCUCAUAGAUUACUACAACAACAGUUGCAGGUACAGCUUAUGCGAUGAUCAUGACGCGAGAGCGAUGUUUACUUGUUUUGGAGUUCUUCUUAUGCUUCUUCUUUGAUCAGGGGAUAGGUUCCAGGUCGGCAGCCUGGGCUAGCAGGGUGGAUGUCGUUUGAGUUUCUGUCUGUGUUUCAUCCGUAGUCGGAUGAUGCUCUAAUGUAUUGUGAUGUUGUAUUCGUGUGGCAUUCUAUGCCUCUUGUAUGUAUCCCCAUCUAUUAUGUAAUGUUGAUGUAAUGAUAUCCACCUUGCAAAAGCGUUUCAAUAUGCGGUUCUAUCCUUGGUGGGACCUUCGAGUCUCUUUAGGAUAGUAUCGCAUAUUGGGCGUGACACCCACCAUUUUACUAAAAAAGAUCAGAUCUAUAUUUAGUCUUACCAACAAGUAGAAUACACAGACAAUGCCAGUGCAGAAGUGUAGCCCAUUGCUCUUGUCAGUAUAUUUUGUCCUGUAACGCUUGUACUUCGAGGGAUUGGUAGUUGAUUAUGUAGCAUCAAUCUGCAUCUUAUCUUCAUUAUCCUCUAUCCCUUCCAGUAUUAUCAUAUCUAUAAUUACUCUCUACAAAAUGUAGAGUACAGGCAAUGCUUAUGAAGAAGAUUUUGUGCUGAAAUUCUUGAGUUAUCCUUCCCUUGACAUGGAGAAGGGCAUUAUAAAGCCGGUGUUAACUGUUAAUGUAAGUUAGUCCUUCUAAAGCCUUUAUCCUCAACUGUUGUUUAAUUUUCUCAUACUCCCUAUCGUUUACUACUGUUUAGUUUGUUGUUUCUACCAAAAUGCAUGUUCGUAAGAACCGUAAGUUCUAAGUUUUACUUGUAAAACCAAAUUUCUUAUUCAUACCAUGCACAUUACGUAAUAGUCCCUAUAUGUAUGCUUGGUUUUGUGGAUCUAUAAUCCAGUGUGUGGUGAAGCAGCCCUCGUUUGCACCUUGUCAUCUCCUGUUUUAUCUUACUGAUGUGGCUGAUGAUAUGAACAACAUGCCAUGCACAUUAUCCAAAAUAGAUACAAUGAUUUUCUUUGCCCUUCAUCUAUGCUUGUUAUGUUGACAUGGUAAUCCGGUAGUGUGGUGAAGCUCCCCACAUUAUGAACAAUGCCAAAUUACGCUAUUGAUAUUUUGAACUUACUCUUUAUUUUCUAAUUUGAAAUUGGAUAGAAUUGACAGAACAGUUAUCAUCUUUGUUUAUACACGUGCAAAACCUGUCAUCUCUCUGCUUUGUUUCAGGGUGAUAUGCCUGAUGGCAUGCACAAGUCUGCUGAAGGCUGUGAGACAAACCCAACAUAUAUUGCAACAAAAAAGGCAAAACAUCUUGAAGAUAGCGAGACAACCCCAAAGUCUUGUCCUGAUGCAGUGUUCAAGUUACUUGAGACUAACAGUCAGACAAGCUCACAGAAUUCGUUGUCUGAAUCAGUUUGACUUCUUCAGUCCCAAGUUCUAGCAGAAAGGCAUUCUGCAACUCAACUUCGACUUGAAGUCCUAUCUCUAAGAAAGAUUGCAGAGAACAUCAAUGAGAACCUCAUCGCUAAACAGCUACACCUAGAAGCUAUGACCGACAUGCUAGGCCGGUCUCACAGCCUUGCUCAGCAGCUUGCGCAGCAGUUCCCCCGCAAGGCUAACCUUUCUUGAACUGUCUUGGAAGUGGUCUCGGUUCAGUAUUAUUUUGUUACGCUGCAAUGGUGCCCACUUUUUGUAAUUUGCUUCUUCGUUGCGCUUUAUGAUCACUGGUGGCGAACUUUGAUGCCCAGUAGAUGUAAUAUACCUUAAAUCCUUUAUUGUAUAGUGUAGGUUUAUUCUUAGUUACUAUGCUGUAAUUUCUUUAUUGUGUAGAGUAGGUUUGUUCUUAAUUCCUACUAGUUACUGCCAUCAUUCGCUAUUUGAAAAAAAAUCAGAUGUAGUCGACCGGGCCGAAACAUUCGAUAAUGGGCCAGGUUUUUAGCGGGCCACAAUUCGGCCGGACUGCGUCUUUCUUGGGCCCGAAUGAUUGGGGCCUUCACACAUUGCGCCAGGCCCAAACUUACACCAGCCUAUAUUUUAGUUGGGCCUUUUGUCGAACCAGCGCUUAGUUCGGCCCAGGUAGCGUUGGGCCAUUAACAGGCUGAAUAUUGUACUGGCCUGUUACGGCCGAGAUGAAACCACGGGCCUUUAGCUGGCCAAAAUGCAUGUUGGGCCUCAAUUUUCACUAGUCGUCGACGGGCCUUCAGCAGGCCGAAAUGUAGACUGGGCCGUUAUGGGCCCAGUUAGCUCACGGGCCAUUACCAGGCUAAAACAUAUCUUGGGCCUUAGUUGGCCCACUGAUAUCAUGGGCCUUUAAGAGGCCGAAAGCUUAGUACAGGCAUCAACGGGCUGAAUUACGCGACAGGCCUUUAACAGGCCCAAAGUCACGUUGGGCUUAACUGUUGCCACCUUUAGCACGGGCCGUUAGUGGGCCCGAUAUCCCAUCGGACCAUAUAUGGCCCAUGGGCAGCACGGGCCAUUCCCAGGCCGAAAGUCACACCGGGCUGAAAUGGGCCCAUGUCUACAUCAGGCCUCUAACAGGCCGAAAGUCACUGGGCUGUAUUUGGGCCCGAAUAUUCGGCGAACAAUUAACGGGCCAGAUCUGGCUUCGGGCCGCAAAUGGGCCCAAAUAUUGGGCAAACAAUUAACGGGCCAGAUCUGGCUUCGGGCUGUAAAUGGGCCCAAAUAUUGGGCGAACAAUUAACGGGCCAGAUCUGGUUUCGGGUUGUAAAUGGGCCUUUAUUAAGCAGGUCGUUAUUGGGCUGGCCCACUAGUACCUGAUUAAGUUCUACAGGGCCUUUGACUGGGCCGGCCUUUUUAACCUAUAUGGGCCUCUAUUGGGCCCAGCCACGUGUCAAUGUACCAUAGGCAUGUCUCCUCCAAUGGACGGGCGACAUUUGGCCCACUGACGAGCUGACAGGUGUUCCCUUCGGCCAAUCAGAAUUUACACGUGGAAACUUCCCAUUGGUCGGGGCUGUUAACGGGUUAUCGGAUCCAAAACCCGACCCGAUAGCUUAACGGUGUUCCGUUACGGUGGAUGCCACGUGUCGGUCACCCUUGACGAAAGCACUUCUGUGACACGCGAUUUAUCGUCAUGGAAGUGGACACUUCCGUGAUGAUAAUUUUGGUAAUGUCAUGGAACACUUCUACGACAGCACAGGUAUGACUAUCUUGAUUCUGUCAUAAAUUUUUCAUGGAUGUACAUGCAUGACAAAAAACGCGCCCUACUGUGACAAACACGUAUCAUCACGAAAGUGUAUUUUUUUGUAGUGUUGCUUGGUGAUGAGUGCAUGUGUUCAAUUAUUAUCAUUUAGAGCGCUCCACCAAGAUGUAUGUGACAUGGAAGAGUGACCCAUGAUCCUAACACAUUGUGCAUUUGCAGUCCAAAGCAAAUUUUAAAUAAUGCACAAAUUUAGGGGGAGCUCUUGCUUAUCACAUACUUCUCAAAGCGACGAUGUUUUUCAAUCUUAUUAUCAUUUGUUGAAGCUUUGAUCUAUAUGUUGUCAUCGAUUACUAAAAAGGGGGAGAUUGAAAGUGCAGCUAUCCCUGGGUGGUUUUGGUAAUUCCUAACAACAUAUAGCUCAUUGAGCUAAUGUUAUUUCAAGAUAAAUAUUUCAGGAAAGCUCAAUGAUUGGCAUGGCAUGGGUGAGAAAAGUGGAUCCCUCAAAAUGCUAAGGACAAAAGGAUUGGCUCAAGCUCAAAACACAAGACUCUACAUUUUCUAUUUUAGUGAUCCAAGAUCACAUUGAGUCUAUAGGAAAAGUCAAUACUAUCAAGGAGGGAUGAGGUGUUGCUUAAUGAGUUUCUUGCUCAAAAUGCUCAGUGAUAUGCUCCAAAUCCCUCAACUACUUUCUCACAUCCACAUAUGUCCCAAACCAAAAGUCAAACUCGGCCCCACCGAAACUGUCUAUCUGACGCCACCGAGUUCUGUUGACAUAGCCACAGCCACAAACCCUAGUCUUUUCGGUCUCACUGAUAGGGAUCUCGGUCUCACCGAGAUGGGAUUGUAAUCUCUCUGUUUCCCUUCAUAAUGUUUCGGUCAAACCGAGAUGAGCGAUUGGUCCCAUCGAGAUUGCAAUGGAAACUCACUGUUUCCCUUUCGUAACGUUUCGGUCCAACCGAGAUGAGCGAAUGGGUCCCACCGAGUUUGCCUGACCAACCCUCUGUGUGUCUAUUACCAAAAUCGGUCUCACCGAGUUUGUGUAAUCGGUCUCACCGAGAUUACGUUAUGCCCUAACCCUAACCAUAUCGGUCCCACCGAGUUGACAUGUCGGUCCCACCGAAAAUCCUAACGGUCACAUUAUUUACUAAAUCGGUCCGACCAAGUUUCAUGAUUCGGUCCCACCGAGUUUGGUAAGUUGUGUGUAACGGUUAGAUUUUGUGUGGAGGCUAUAUAUACCCCUCCACCCACUCUUCAUUCAUGGAGCGAGCCAUCAGAACAUGCCUACACUUCCAGCAUUCAUUUUCUGAGAGAGAACCACCUACUCAUGUGUUGAGGUCAAGAUAUUCCAUUCCUACCACAUAAAUUUUGAUCUCUAGCCUUCCCCAAGUUGCUUUCCACUCAAAUCUUCUUUCCACCAAAUCCAAAUCCUGUGAGAGAGAGUUCAGUGUUGGGGAGACUAUCAUUUGAAGCACAAGAGCAAGGAGUUCAUCAUCAACACACCAUUUGUUACUUCUUGGAGAGUGGUGUCUCCUAGAUUGGCUAGGUGUCACUUGGGAGCCUCCGACAAGAUUGUGGAGUUGAACCAAGGAGUUUGUAAGGGCAAGGAGAUCGCCUACUUCGUGAAGAUCUACCCUAGUGAGGUAAAUCCUCCGUGGGCGACGACCAUGGUGGGAUAGACAAGGUUGCUUCUUCGUGGACCCUUCGUGGGUGGAGCCCUUCGUGGACUCGCGCAACCGUUACCCUUCGUGGGUUGAAGUCUCCAUCAACGUGGAUGUAUGAUAGCUCCACCUAUCGGAACCAUGGCUAAAAAAUUUCUGUGUCAACAUUGCAUUUGCCUCCUCAAACUCCUUCCUUUACCUUCAUAUGCAAUUAUUUUACAUUCUGCUGCUAUACUCUUAGAAUUGCAUGUGUAGGUUGAUUGCUUGACUUGUGCUAAGUUGCUAAAAUCUGCCAAGAACUUAAAUUGGGAAAAGGCUAGAUUUUUAUUUGGUCAAGUAGUCUAAUCCCCCCCCCCUCUAGACAUACUUUCGGUCCUACAUGGGACCCACUAGCUACAUCUUCGCACACAAGGAAGUGCCUGACAGUCGGGACCCACCUGGUCGAAGCAUACGUAGCGUUGUCAUUCUGGUCGCGAACGUGUAUGUACAUACUAGUCGAUGUAGAGGCGCGCACGUGUCAUAGUAGAGGCACACACAUAGCAUGUACACGUACGUACAGCGGCCAGGGUGCAAGAAAUAAAAUACGGCCAUGUACGUACAUAUGGGAGGGGUCUCGAACGCCUACUCACGCAUACGUACGACCAGGGCUCGUGUACAUGGCUGGGUCGGAACGGAGAAACUGCAUCGUCGUCGUGUUCAUGGGGAGCCAACCGGCUCGGUCAGAAUGGAAUGAGUCGUCGUGUUAAUCGGGAGGGCUUGGAUGGAACAGCCGAUGGAAAUGAGGCCUGGCGUAUCGCAGAACGCAGGAAACGGCCUUGUGUUCGACCGGCCACGGUCGAAAUGGGAUCCUGUUCAUCGGGAGGGGUCUAGCAUACCGCAAAACGGAGGAAACGGACUUCUGUUGGACCUCCUACGGUCGAAACAGGGUCCUGAUGAUCGGGAGGGGUAUGGCGUACCGCAAAAUGAAGGAAACGGACUUGUGUUGGAGCGCUACGGUCGAAACGAGGGUCAUGUUCAUCGGGAGGGGUAUGGCGUACCGCAAUACGGGACUCCAUGGGAUACUGUUCAUCUCCACCGUCGACCUCCUCCAACCUCCACGGGCUACUGUUCAUCCACCGUCGACCUCCUCCAGCCUCCACCUACGACUGUUCAUCCACGGGCUCCUGUUCAUCCAGCCUCCACCACGCGCUCCUCCAUCGGCUACUGUUAAACCAGCCCUCUCCACAGGGUCUUGUUCAACCACCCCUCCACAGGCUACUGUUCAUCCAGCUCACCACCGGCUACUCUUCAACUAGCCCUCCACCGGCUACUGUUCAACCUUUCCUCCACGGGGUCUUGUUCAUCCAGCCCUCCACGGGGUCCUGUUCAUCCACGCCCAACUGGCUCGAUCGAUCGGGGUCCUGUUCAUCCAGCGGCAACACCACGGGGUCUUGUUCAUCCAACCCCCCACCGGGAACUGUUCAUCCAACCCCCCAACAACGCUCAUUGUUCAUCAAGGGAAGCGAGGCAGCAGGUUCAAUCGGCUUCAGUUAGCAGCAGUAGCAAACGAAGGAAUCGCUCGAUCGGGUUCAGUAACGCGUAGCCUGCAAUGCAAUCGCUCGGGUUCAGUAGGCGAACGCCUCGCUCGGGUUCAGUUAAAGCCCAACGCCUUGCACCCACGUGCAUACAUGUAUGAGAGAAACGCGCAUCGCUCGGCCCCCGACCACCCACCGUAACUGGGAACUCCCCGAUAUUUUCCUCGCCCUCGCUUCUACCAUGGUUUUUUCCGUCAUGCACAGCCCAAAGAAUGUCAUGCAGCUGCGUCUCUGGCCCGCCCAGGACGAAAAGCCCUGUCAUGAUUUUUUGUCAUAGAAGUAGGAUCCCACCACAUCUAUGAUGAUACCGGGUUUUGUCACAAUUAUCGUCAUAGAAGUGUCAUAAGUAUGACAGAAAAAAAUUCGUCCGGCCCAAAAUGUCAUGGAUGUGUCUUUUCUUUAGUGAAUUCCUCCGCUUUAAAAUACUUGAAGAAGUUUAUCAUGGGGCAAAUAUCUUUAGGCUUGGCCAAGUCUAUAGAAAAAUAUGUUGACAUAUACAACAUCAACUAUGUAUAGUAUGAAAACAUAUGUUAUAAUGAAUCUAACUAAACCAAUAUGAUGUUGUUGAUGUUGUUAUAUUUUUUCUAUAGACUUGGUUAAACUUAAAUAUGUUUGACUUACAAACUUAGAGCAACCCUAGCAGAUGCGCCAACCGCUCAUAUGACAUCCAAGACCCAAAAGAAGGGUCAUGUCGACAACAUAGUCACCUUCACAACAAGACAAGCAUCUUCAUCAUUAUGUGGAAGCAACAAAGAUGGCGAUAAAAAUGAACAUGGUCACCCUCAACAGCAUAGUCAACUACAAUUGAAGCUAAAAACAUCCAUCCAACCAUUUUGCACACUAAUCAAUAUUAGGUUUGACUUGACUUGCGGUUGGCGUUCUUGCAGCCAUAUUUUGGUUUCAAGCUAAACAAAUGGCUCUUUGGGCUAUGGUGAAAACUACUUGCUCUGGAAGCUAAUAAAACAAAAUUGGAAGUUGAUUUGUUUACAACUACAAGAAGUGAUACAACAACUUGCCCAGGAUGCUACUAUGAGAGAACAAUUUGAUUUGGAAAUUGGUAAAAGGAGAAAGACGAGGAAUUUAGAAACUACUUAUAGCUUAUUGGUUAUAAUGGAAGUCAGGAAACCAUUGAGAACUUUGGAGAACAAAUGGCUAAAAUUUAUGGAGUGGCUUUGGAUGCUAGUGAUGGUGGGGACAUGGAAGAUGCUCUUAGAAGAUGCCCUAGAUUGAAAUGCAAAGAAGAUUUCAGGGUGGAAGAUUUAGCAAAAAAACAGAGUUGAAGCUAGAGGUAAUUACAGUAUGGAUGUUGAUUUGUCUUCUCCUAAUGCCUCCUUACUUCACAUGACUGCUUUGGUGGAUAUUGAAUUGGGAUGUUCUAUUAAGAUGGUUGAUAAGAACCUUGACAUGAUUAAAAACGCAACAUGCUAGGAAAUAUAUAUUUUUCUCAUGCAAAACAUUAUUAAUAACUAACAAUACUAGUAAAACAGAAAUCGCUAGCUCACCUUGUCCAAUUAACAUUGGUGGUGCUGCUCUGAUGAGUUAUGUUCUAAUAAUGAUCAUUCUGAUGUUGAGAUGGAAGAAUACUACUAUGGGCAAAUAAAAAAUAUUUUCUACAUUGGGAAAAUGAAGAGAGAUAGCUCCCAAAAAUAGGUUGUCUGAAGCACUUUGAUUCCAUUGAAGGGCUGAAAAAAUCCUAAAUUAAAAGAUAAUCUGGUUAAUUUGUUUAGGAAUGGAAGGAGUUUUUUGGAGUGUGAGAGGUUUGGGGCAAGAUCUCAAACAAGAGACAUGUUAGGGAAUGAUCAUAGAUUAUAUAUUAGAUUUUAUUGGCCUGUUGGAAGCCAUAAAACAAAAUUACGCGAAAAGUGAGCAUUCCCUUAUGGGGGGCUUUGAAUCGCACUAAAAUCACCCUAGGGGAAGGUUUGGUGGGAUUUUAGUUGGCACUAAUAAAUAUAUGUUUGAUCUGAAGGAAAUAUGCCCUAAAGGCAAUAAUAAAGUUCUUAUUUUAUAUUUCCUUAUUCAUGAUAAAGGUUUAUUAUUCAUGUUAGAAUUGUAUUGAUCGGAAACCUUAAUACAUGCAUGAAUACAUAAACAAACAGUGUGUCCCUAGUGAGCCUCUACUAGACUAGCUCGUUGAUCAAAGAUGGUUAAGGUUUCCUAACCAUGGACAUGAGUUGUCAUUUGAUAACGGGAUCACAUCAUUAGGAGGAGGAUGUGAUGGACAAGACCCAUCCGUUAGCUUAGCAUAAUGAUCAUUCAGUUUUAUUGCUAUUGUUUUCUUCAUGUCAAAUACAUUUCCUUCGACUAUGAGAUUAUGCAACUCCUAGAUACCAGAGGAAUGCCUUGUGUGCUAUCAAACGUCACAACGUAACUGGGUGAUUAUAAAGAUGCUCUACAGGUAUCUCAAGGUGUUUGUUGAGUUGGCAUAGAUUGAGAUUAGGAUUUGUCAAUCCGAGUAUCGGAGAGGUAUCUCUGGGCCUCUCGGUAAUACACAUCAUAAGCUUGCAAGCAAACGACUAAGGAGUUAGUCACGAGGUGAUGUAUUACGGAAUGAGUAAAAAGAGACUUGCCGGUAACGAGAUUGAACUAGGUAUGAAGAUACCGACGAUCGAAUCUCGGGCAAGUAACAUACCGAUGGACAAAGGGAAUUACGUAUGUUGUCAUAACAGUUCGACCGAUAAAGAUCUUCCAAUAUGUAGGAGCCAAUAUGGGCAUCCAGGUUCCGCUAUUCGUUAUUGACCAGAGAGGUUUCUAGGUCAUGUGUACAUAUUUCUCGAACCUGUAGGGUCCGCACGCUCAACGCUCGAUGACGAUAUAGUAUUAUAUGAGUUAUGUGAUUUGGUGACCGAAUGUUGUUCAGAGUCCCGAAUGAGAUCACGGACAUGAUGGGGAGUCUCGAAUGGUUGAGAUGUAAAGAUUGAUAUAUAGGACGAUGAUAUUCGGACACCGGAAGUGUUUCGGGGGUACCGGGUACUUAUCGGGUCACCGGAAGGGGUUCUGGGCACCCCCGGCAAAAGAUAUUGGCCUUAUGGGCCAAGAGGGGAAACACACUAGCCACAAGGGGCUGGUGCGCCCCCCAUAUGGGUCGGCCUAAGGAGGAGAAGGAAACGGGAGAAGUGAAAGGAAACAGUGGAAUAGAAUUGCCCCUUCCUUCCCUCCCCUCCCCCCUCUUUCCCUCCCCCUUUGACAAAUAUGGCAGGAGGGGCGCGGCCAAGGGCAGGAGCCCAAGUAGGAUUCAGACCUACUUGGGGCGCCCCUUGGCCUCUCCCCUCUCCCUCCCACCUAUAUAUAUGAGGAGGGGGGCGCCUAGCACACCUCGAACAAUUGCCUAGCCGUGUGCGGCGCCCCCCCCCCCUCCACCGUUUACACCCCCGGUCAUAUUUUCAUAGUGCUUAGGCGAAGCCCUGCGGAGAUCACUUCACCAUCACCAUCACCGUGCCAUCGUGCUGACGGAACUCAUCUACUACCUCGACGUCUUGCUAGAUCAAUAAGGCGGGGGACGUCACCGAGCUAAACCUGUGCAGAACACGGAGGUGUCAUGCGUUCGGUUGAUCGAUUGAAGCGCGAAGAAGUUCGACUACAUCAACCGCGUUGUGAAACGCUUCAGCUUACGGUGUACGAGGGUACGUAGACACACUCUCCCCCUCGUUGUUAUGCAUCUCCAUGGAUAGAUCAUUGCGUGUGCGUAGAAUUUUUUUUGUUUCCAUGCAACGAUUCCCAACAUGAUCUAAUUCAGGUUGAGAGUGGAAAAUACUUUAUUACAAUUCUGUUAUUUAAUAAACUUGCCAAAUUCAAUUGAAAUCUUAUUACUAUAUAUGUGGAUGGCCAAUUGGCAGGGAAAGCUAGUUUCUUGGCUGAACUAGCUAGAGUUUAUCAUGAUAAUCCCAUAGCAUGUUUGGUGGGUGGUGAUUUUAACAUAAUUAGAAAAGGUUGUGAAAAAAAUCCAGUGAUACUGAUCACUAGAGUUUUGUGUUCAAUGCAAUUAUUGAGCAUGCUGGUUUGAGAGUGAUGUCUUUAAAUGUGAGAAAUUUCAUUUGGGCAAAUAAUUUGGAGGAUCCUACUUUUGAAAACUAUAUGGAGUCCUUUUGUGCAUUGAAUGGGAGUAACAUUAUCCUUUAUCUAUGUUGCAGGCAUUUGCCAGUGAGGUUUAUGAUAAUACUCCUUUGUUUCUGGAUUCUGAAGAUCAUUGUAUUGCCCCUGCCAUUUUUAGAUUUGAGAGUUCCUGGAUGCCUAGAGAGUGUUUUAGAGUUUUUUUCACAAAAUUUAGGAAUGAGGAUUUUUAUGGAUCCAAUCUAGGAAGAUGGCAGGAAAGAUGGAGGAAUUUAAGGAAGAAAAUUAGAGGGUGGAAUGGAAAUAAUGAUGGUUGGUAUAGGAAGGUUAAGUUGGAAAUCUUAGUAAACUUGAUGUGCUGAUAAAAAAGCUGAGAAUGUUGGCCUUAGUGCAUGUGCUAGACAUGAGCAGAAAGUGCUUAGAGGACAACUUACUAGAAUUCUAAAACAAGGGGAAUUAAAAUGGUUAUAGACAUAAUGGAAAUACUAGAUAUUAUCAUGCUAAAGUAAAUGGUAGAAGAAGAAAAAAUAGGAUCAUAUCUUUAGAGCAAGAGGAAGGUGUGAUUGAGGGUGAAGUUCAGUUGAUCGCAUACAUCACUAAAUUUUAUUAAAAAAAUGGAAACCUGAUUGUUCUAAUAUUGCUCUUCAUAAUCAAGAUUUACCUCAAAUUCCUAAUGAGUGGUUGAUAAAUUAAUAGAACCUUUUACUAUAAAAGGAAUUCAUGGUGUAGUUUCCCGAAUGGAAGAAAAUAAAAGCACUCGCCCUGAUGGGUUUCCUGCUGAUUUCUAUUAGGGGUUUUAGGAUUUGGUUAAGUGGGAUUUGAAGGACUACUUGAUGAAUUUUAUCAUGGCAAGUUGGAUAUUGCUAGGUUGAAUUAUGGGAGUAUUACUCUUGUUCCCAAUACUAAUGAUGUUAAAAAAUACAAAAGUUUAGACCUAUUUGUCUUAUGAAUAUUAGCUUUAAAACCAUUACCAAGAGGUUUUGAUGAAUAGAGUACUAUCCCUUCUUAUUUCUCCUACCCAGACUGCUUUUGUCAAGGGAGAUACAUCAUGGAAGGGGUGGUUGUUCUCCACGAAGCGUUGAAUUCUAUUCAUUUUAAGAUAGAUAAUGCCGUAUUGUUUAAUAAAGUUGAUUUUGGGAAAAGCUUUAUCAAUAUGAAAAAAUUAAGUAUCCCUUUGUGAUGCAAAUCCUUAAAAUGAAAGGAUUUCCUGAUAAAUGGCGUGACUGGGUCAUGCUCGCUGAGAGGGGGUAAUGUGGGUGUAAGAGUUAAUGAUACAAAUGGUCCUUACUUUAAAACUCACAAGGGCCUAAGAUAGGGUGAUGCUUUAUCACCUUUGGUUUUUGAUUUGGUUGCAAAUGCUCUAGUUGUCAUUAUGGAAAAAGCAAAUGUUAAUGGUUUUGUGAAGGGGGGUUUAAAUGAAAAUCUAGCUAAUUGAUUUAUAUGCUUUAAUAUUCUCAUUAUGUCAUAUUUUUACUUCAAGAUGAUGUUGGAAGUGCUAAAAAGUCAAAUUCAUAUUGAGUGCUUUUGAGCAAAUGUCUAGACUAACUAUUUAAUUUCCAUAAGAGCAGGUUGUUUCUUUUAGGGAAACUAAAAAUAAAGUUGAGUUGUAUCAAGAGAUUUUUACUUGUCAGUCGGGAGAUUUGUAUAUGAAGUAUCAGGGUAUGCUUGUCUUUGAUACUGGGAUUAGGAAUAAACAUUGUAAGGGGGUAGAAAAUAAAGUUGAGAAAAGAUGUGGAUGUUGGCACGGUAAACUACUAGGCUCUAUUGCUGAUAGGAUUACUUCGGUCCAAGCUUGCUAACCAGCAUGCCUCUUUUUAUGAUGUCUUUGUAACCCCCCCCCCCCCCUGUUGGGUGCUUAAGAAAGUUGAUUCCGUUAGAGCUAGAAUAGUGUGGGAGGGUGAUGAAGAUAAAAAGAAAAUUCACUUAGUUAACUGGAAAACCUGUUGUAAACCUAGAGACCACGGGGGUUGGGGAUCCUUAAUUUUGAUAUCAUGGAUAAAGCAUUGUUAGGUAAGUGGUUUCGGAAACUAGAAACUCAAUUUGGGCUUUGGCAAUUUGAUUUCUUGACAAAAUAUGUCCCCAGUGGGUGUAUUUCUAUAGCUAAACCCAAGGUGGGGGAUUCACAAUUCUGGUCUAGCAUUCGAAAAGUUAAAGAGAUUUUUAUCAAUUUUGUUUGGGAGAUGGUUAAGAUUGGUGGUUUUUUAGAUGAAAAACCUUUAAAAUUUGCUUGCCCAUAUGUUUUAAGCUCUGAUCAUAACAUUACUGUUGCUAAAGCCUUGUAGAAAGGCUGGGGGGUCAGGUUCAGGAGAACUAUAUAUCAGAAGUCUCUAAAGCUCUGGAAUAGUUUGAAACUUAGAUGUGAAGAGGUAGAAAAUCGGAUCUAGUAAAGAUAAGAUAAAUUGGUUGUUAACAACUCAUGGAUUUUUUUGCCAAGUCUUUAUAAGGAAAACUGGUUGAAUCUAAUUGCAAUUUCCCUUAAAAGUUUGUAUGGAAGGUCAAAGUACCGGCUAGGAUAAAGUUUUUCUCUGGCUUAUGGCUAGAAAAAGCAUACUCACCAAAGAUACUCUAUUAAGGAUAGGAUGGGUUGGUAGUAAAAUGUGUAUCUUUUCUCGUAAAGAGGAGACACUUGAUCAUUAGUCUUCCAAUUCUUUGGUAUUGGUUUGAUGUGGAGCUUGCAGAAAUGUGCUUUUAGCCUAAGUUCUACUCCUACUACACUUAAUGAUUGCUUUGGGAACUGGAUUAGAAGUUUACCAAAGAUUUAGAAAAGGCUAGUGUUGGAGGUGUAGAAAUGAUGUCAUUUUUGAGAAAAAACUUAUCAAUGAUCAUAUCAUCCCCAUAAAGUUGAUUUGAUAUUGGAUUAUUGGAUGGUUUAUUCUGUAGAUAAAGGAGGAAAAAACAGAGGGGUGCUCAUGGUAGGGGCAAAACUACUUGAGCUGGUAGCAAAUGAAGUAUAUAGAUCGUCACAGGGUUGGAGGCACGGUGUCCUGAAAUUGAUGGCAAAGUGUUGAAGCUUAAAACACUAGCAAUUACUGCUCCAUUUAUUCCCCCUAUGAGGAGUUGUCGAUUUCCCUCUUUUAGCAAUCUUUCUUGUACUUUUUCUUUUGCCAUUGAUGUACUUAUGCACCUAGUUAUGCUAGCUUGUUUAGUUGGUUUCUCGGCUCCUUCAUGAUGCGGUUGUGGAAGAAGUUUGGUCGUGUUCAUUUGUUGUUCUAGUUCUUGUGGUGCUAGAGACUGCUUAUAUGUAAGUAGCUCCUUCUUUUGGAGUUUGAUGAUUUGAUCCUUUGUUGGAUGCUUGGAGCACUGUGUUGAUCCUUGUUAGAAGCUCGAUAGAUGUUAUAUUAUGGUGGUAAUCUGUAUUAGGUGGAACUUGUGGUUUCUAUUAAUAAAAAUCAAAGGGGCAGACCCUUUUUUAUAAUAAUAAAAAGGUUUUGGGUUGGUGGGUUGCCAUAUUAACCAAUUCCCUAGCAAAAUAUAGGUUAUAGCCAGAAAAAUAGGAACCCAGUUUUAGGUAAGCUGUUUGAGCAAUUUUUUGGGCCAAAAAACCUAAUUUUUUAGUUUGUAGGUAUUUGGCUCAUUUUUAGGAUCGUUAUUGGAGAUGCUUUGAGGGCAUCAAUUUUUUAAGACCUUUUAGGGAUUUGACAAAAAGAUGUAAUGUAAAUCCAAAGGGUCUAAAACUGCAAUAAUAAGGAUCAAAUGAUCGCCUAUGGAAAUUUGCUUCAAGCGCCAACUUGAAAGAAACUUACAAGCUUCUAAGAACACGAAGGUGUCCAGGUGCGGAGGCACGGGCGAGAGAGGUAGGCCGAGGUAGAUUUGAGGGAAAGGUGUGAUGGAGCUAGGGUGGUUGCGAACACGUCAGAGGUUUGGAUCCUGAAAGGGGGCAAAAAUUGAUCACAUGAUUACUAAUUUGGUCAUCAGGCAAAAAGAAGACCUUGUCCAAGGAGGAGGUGAGCCCAGGACUCAACAAACGGUUCAUACAAAAUAAGGUAAUCGAAAAGGGAAGGGAGUUGCUUGCAUCAUAAAAUAAAAUCCCUAUUGCAGGAACAAACGAAGAGAAGGAGAUCACAAAAAGAAUCUUCUAGGAUGAUGAUUGUGAGGGCAAUAACUAAUGCCAUUGGAUUCAAUAACCAGGGUACGUUUUCUUUUCGCUUUCAAACCAAAUCCAAGGCAAGAUAAAAUCUUCUAUUUUCCUCGCCAUCAACAACAUAACAACACUUCGCCAUGGUUCUUCAGAUAAGUUUUUGGAGUGCAGAUCACCAUUCAUAAUAAAAGAUAAAAGAUCUUGGCGGAAAUGGAGGCCAAAAGAGGGACAAUCUCCGCCGGACACGCGCCUAGUGAGAGGAAAACAAGGGGAAGAGCGCAUCCCAAACUCAUCCACAGUACAAGAACACUAGGCAAGCAAUCAGCAAGCAACAAAAUACUAACGACAUCGCCAUCGAAACCAAGUGCAACAUGCCAACAUCAGAAGCACUAUCAACUGCAACAUUUCACCAUCAGAUGCAUCUAUCAACAGCUAUAUGCAAACUUGUAACCAGAUUAGCUUGCAACGAUCAGUGCAAUCCCAACUACGAAGUACGAAACAUGGUGGAUAGUUAUGCUAUAUAGGCAAAGUAGAUUGUCAGAUAAUUCCAAAGCGACAAUUGUUAUGAACGUUAUUCCUAUAUGCAGAAGUAGAUUGACAGUUAACUCCAAUUGCUACAAUGCUAAGCAUGAAGCACGACCUAAUAGUGAGAGUGUUUAUACAAUAGACUAUAUCCAUCUUAUAUAGAGUAGAACACUGGCCAGUACAAGCAUUUUUAUUAUCUCUGACUAAACCAAAAUUCAGACUAGCCACCAUGCUAUGUACUAAUGAAUCUCUAAAUAUGGUAUGUAACUAAAAAUGUGCUAUGAUGCAUGUAUACCUGGAAGUGAGCUAUAUAUUAUAUAUUUUACUAAACAGAACAGAGCAGUAAACAUCAACGUCCAACCACUACAAUCAAACUUUCUCCGACAUACUGAAGCACAAUUCAACACUAAGUGACAAUGCAAGCUGCAGCGCACGAUCAAGAACAGGUCAAGAGGACAGCGACCAAGUACACAACAACAGGACAAACAUCUUCAUCAUAAUGCGGAAGCAACAGAGAUGGCGAUAAAAAAAAUGAACAUGUUCACUCACAGCAGCACAGUCAACUACAACCGAAGCUAAAAACAUCCAUCCAUCCAUUGUGCACACUCAUCUCGAUUAGGUUACAACACAUACUGAGCAACUAAGCCGACGGAACAAUUAGUACAGAGCACAAAUCGAAGAAGCACGGUCACACCUAGGAGCUUACCACCGUCGCAACCACAGCGAGAUCCACAGACCGAAAGGCAUCACACGCAG